CGAUAACGCUGGCGGCGUGCUUACACCUGCAGUUAACGAACUUCGGGUUAGUGGCGGACGGGUGAGUAACGCGUGAGAAUCUGCCCUCAGGAGGGGGAUGACCGGCUGGAAACGGCCGCUAAUACCCCAUAUGCCGCGAGGUGAAAUGAAUUUCGCCUGAGCGAUGAGCUCGCGUCUGAUUAGCUACGUUUGGUGGGGUAAGAGCCUACCAAGGCAUCGAUCAGUAGCUGGUCUGAGAGGAUGAUCAGCCACACUGGGACUGAGACACGGCCCAGACUCCUACGGGAGGCAGCACGUGGGGAAUUUUCCGCAAUGGGCGAAAGCCUGACGGAGCAACGCCGCGUGAGGGAUGAAGGCCUCUGGGCUGUAAACCUCUUUUAUCAAGGAAGAAGAUCUGACAGGUACUUGAUGAAUUAGCCACGGCUAAUCCCGUGCCAGACAGCCGCGGUAAUACGGGAGUGGCAAGCGUUAUCCGGAAUUAUUGGGCGUAAAGCGUCCGCAGGCGGCUCUUGUAAGUCUGUAGUCUAAAGCGUGGAGCUUAACUACCAUUAUGAGCAAUGGAAACUGCAAGGACUACAAGUGUGCGAUAAGCGGGCAGAGAGGCAAUUACCCCGGCUGUAAGCGGUGAAAUUGCGUAGCAUCAUCGGGAAAGAAACACCACGAUGGCCGAAAGAGCCGACUCCUGCUUGCGGCCAAUCAA
Molecule: ribosomal RNA, 700 nt
Filed under: uncultured cyanobacterium
Lineage: Bacteria; Bacillati; Cyanobacteriota
Description: bacterial SSU rRNA
Rfam family: Bacterial small subunit ribosomal RNA
Source: RNAcentral